GCCUGGCUGGCUCAGUUGGUAGAGCAUGUGACUCCUGACCUUGGGGUCAUGAGUUUGAGCCCCAUGCUGGGUG
RNAcentral lists this transfer RNA (73 nucleotides) under Canis lupus familiaris (dog). It matches the Rfam family "tRNA". Rfam says of the family: Transfer RNA (tRNA) molecules are approximately 80 nucleotides in length. Their secondary structure includes four short double-helical elements and three loops (D, anti-codon, and T loops). The record is from Rfam by way of RNAcentral. Lineage: Eukaryota; Metazoa; Chordata; Mammalia; Carnivora; Canidae. RNAcentral also lists the same sequence under 2 other names.